AAAUUGAAGAGUUUGAUCAUGGCUCAGAUUGAACGCUGGCGGCAGGCCUAACACAUGCAAGUCGAACGGUAACAGGAAGCAGCUUGCUGCUUUGCUGACGAGUGGCGGACGGGUGAGUAAUGUCUGGGAAACUGCCUGAUGGAGGGGGAUAACUACUGGAAACGAUGGCUAAUGCCGCAUAACGUCGCAAGACCAAAGAGGGGGACCUUCGGGCCUCUUGCCAUCAGAUGUGCCCAGAUGGGAUUAGCUUGUUGGUGAGGUAACGGCUCACCAAGGCGACGAUCCCUAGCUGGUCUGAGAGGAUGACCAGCCACACUGGAACUGAGACACGGUCCAGACUCCUACGGGAGGCAGCAGUGGGGAAUAUUGCACAAUGGGCGCAAGCCUGAUGCAGCCAUGCCGCGUGUAUGAAGAAGGCCUUCGGGUUGUAAAGUACUUUCAGCGGGGAGGAAGGUGUUGUGGUUAAUAACCGCAGCAAUUGACGUUACCCGCAGAAGAAGCACCGGCUAACUCCGUGCCAGCAGCCGCGGUAAUACGGAGGGUGCAAGCGUUAAUCGGAAUUACUGGGCGUAAAGCGCACGCAGGCGGUCUGUCAAGUCGGAUGUGAAAUCCCCGGGCUCAACCUGGGAACUGCAUUCGAAACUGGCAGGCUUGAGUCUUGUAGAGGGGGGUAGAAUUCCAGGUGUAGCGGUGAAAUGCGUAGAGAUCUGGAGGAAUACCGGUGGCGAAGGCGGCCCCCUGGACAAAGACUGACGCUCAGGUGCGAAAGCGUGGGGAGCAAACAGGAUUAGAUACCCUGGUAGUCCACGCCGUAAACGAUGUCUACUUGGAGGUUGUGCCCUUGAGGCGUGGCUUCCGGAGCUAACGCGUUAAGUAGACCGCCUGGGGAGUACGGCCGCAAGGUUAAAACUCAAAUGAAUUGACGGGGGCCCGCACAAGCGGUGGAGCAUGUGGUUUAAUUCGAUGCAACGCGAAGAACCUUACCUGGUCUUGACAUCCACGGAAGAAUUCAGAGAUGGAUUUGUGCCUUCGGGAACCGUGAGACAGGUGCUGCAUGGCUGUCGUCAGCUCGUGUUGUGAAAUGUUGGGUUAAGUCCCGCAACGAGCGCAACCCUUAUCCUUUGUUGCCAGCGAUUCGGUCGGGAACUCAAAGGAGACUGCCAGUGAUAAACUGGAGGAAGGUGGGGAUGACGUCAAGUCAUCAUGGCCCUUACGACCAGGGCUACACACGUGCUACAAUGGCGCAUACAAAGAGAAGCGACCUCGCGAGAGCAAGCGGACCUCAUAAAGUGCGUCGUAGUCCGGAUUGGAGUCUGCAACUCGACUCCAUGAAGUCGGAAUCGCUAGUAAUCGUGGAUCAGAAUGCCACGGUGAAUACGUUCCCGGGCCUUGUACACACCGCCCGUCACACCAUGGGAGUGGGUUGCAAAAGAAGUAGGUAGCUUAACCUUCGGGAGGGCGCUUACCACUUUGUGAUUCAUGACUGGGGUGAAGUCGUAACAAGGUAACCGUAGGGGAACCUGCGGUUGGAUCACCUCCUUACCUGAAAGAAGC
RNAcentral lists this ribosomal RNA (1554 nucleotides) under Salmonella enterica subsp. enterica serovar Montevideo str. 42N. RNAcentral describes it as "bacterial SSU rRNA". It matches the Rfam family "Bacterial small subunit ribosomal RNA". Lineage: Bacteria; Pseudomonadati; Pseudomonadota; Gammaproteobacteria; Enterobacterales; Enterobacteriaceae. The record is from RNAcentral.